This 2900-nucleotide ribosomal RNA is filed under the name Escherichia coli. RNAcentral describes it as "23S ribosomal RNA". It matches the Rfam family "Bacterial large subunit ribosomal RNA". The record is from RNAcentral. Lineage: Bacteria; Pseudomonadati; Pseudomonadota; Gammaproteobacteria; Enterobacterales; Enterobacteriaceae.
GGUUAAGCGACUAAGCGUACACGGUGGAUGCCCUGGCAGUCAGAGGCGAUGAAGGACGUGCUAAUCUGCGAUAAGCGUCGGUAAGGUGAUAUGAACCGUUAUAACCGGCGAUUUCCGAAUGGGGAAACCCAGUGUGAUUCGUCACACUAUCAUUAACUGAAUCCAUAGGUUAAUGAGGCGAACCGGGGGAACUGAAACAUCUAAGUACCCCGAGGAAAAGAAAUCAACCGAGAUUCCCCCAGUAGCGGCGAGCGAACGGGGAGCAGCCCAGAGCCUGAAUCAGUGUGUGUGUUAGUGGAAGCGUCUGGAAAGGCGCGCGAUACAGGGUGACAGCCCCGUACACAAAAAUGCACAUGCUGUGAGCUCGAUGAGUAGGGCGGGACACGUGGUAUCCUGUCUGAAUAUGGGGGACCAUCCUCCAAGGCUAAAUACUCCUGACUGACCGAUAGUGAACCAGUACCGUGAGGGAAAGGCGAAAAGAACCCCGGCGAGGGGAGUGAAAAAGAACCUGAAACCGUGUACGUACAAGCAGUGGGAGCACGCUUAGGCGUGUGACUGCGUACCUUUUGUAUAAUGGGUCAGCGACUUAUAUUCUGUAGCAAGGUUAACCGAAUAGGGGAGCCGAAGGGAAACCGAGUCUUAACUGGGCGUUAAGUUGCAGGGUAUAGACCCGAAACCCGGUGAUCUAGCCAUGGGCAGGUUGAAGGUUGGGUAACACUAACUGGAGGACCGAACCGACUAAUGUUGAAAAAUUAGCGGAUGACUUGUGGCUGGGGGUGAAAGGCCAAUCAAACCGGGAGAUAGCUGGUUCUCCCCGAAAGCUAUUUAGGUAGCGCCUCGUGAAUUCAUCUCCGGGGGUAGAGCACUGUUUCGGCAAGGGGGUCAUCCCGACUUACCAACCCGAUGCAAACUGCGAAUACCGGAGAAUGUUAUCACGGGAGACACACGGCGGGUGCUAACGUCCGUCGUGAAGAGGGAAACAACCCAGACCGCCAGCUAAGGUCCCAAAGUCAUGGUUAAGUGGGAAACGAUGUGGGAAGGCCCAGACAGCCGGGAUGUUGGCUUAGAAGCAGCCAUCAUUUAAAGAAAGCGUAAUAGCUCACUGGUCGAGUCGGCCUGCGCGGAAGAUGUAACGGGGCUAAACCAUGCACCGAAGCUGCGGCAGCGACGCUUAUGCGUUGUUGGGUAGGGGAGCGUUCUGUAAGCCUGUGAAGGUGUGCUGUGAGGCAUGCUGGAGGUAUCAGAAGUGCGAAUGCUGACAUAAGUAACGAUAAAGCGGGUGAAAAGCCCGCUCGCCGGAAGACCAAGGGUUCCUGUCCAACGUUAAUCGGGGCAGGGUGAGUCGACCCCUAAGGCGAGGCCGAAAGGCGUAGUCGAUGGGAAACAGGUUAAUAUUCCUGUACUUGGUGUUACUGCGAAGGGGGACGGAGAAGGCUAUGUUGGCCGGGCGACGGUUGUCCCGGUUUAAGCGUGUAGGCUGGUUUUCCGGGCAAAUCCGGAAAAUCAAGGCUGAGGCGUGAUGACGAGGCACUACGGUGCUGAAGCAACAAAUGCCCUGCUUCCGGGAAAAGCCUCUAAGCAUCAGGUAACAUCAAAUCGUACCCCAAACCGACACAGGUGGUCAGGUAGAGAAUACCAAGGCGCUUGAGAGAACUCGGGUGAAGGAACUAGGCAAAAUGGUGCCGUAACUUCGGGAGAAGGCACGCUGAUAUGUAGGUGAAGCGACUUGCUCGUGGAGCUGAAAUCAGUCGAAGAUACCAGCUGGCUGCAACUGUUUAUUAAAAACACAGCACUGUGCAAACACGAAAGUGGACGUAUACGGUGUGACGCCUGCCCGGUGCCGGAAGGUUAAUUGAUGGGGUCAGCGCAAGCGAAGCUCUUGAUCGAAGCCCCGGUAAACGGCGGCCGUAACUAUAACGGUCCUAAGGUAGCGAAAUUCCUUGUCGGGUAAGUUCCGACCUGCACGAAUGGCGUAAUGAUGGCCGGGCUGUCUCCACCCGAGACUCAGUGAAAUUGAACUCGCUGUGAAGAUGCAGUGUACCCGCGGCAAGACGGAAAGACCCCGUGAACCUUUACUAUAGCUUGACACUGAACAUUGAGCCUUGAUGUGUAGGAUAGGUGGGAGGCUUUGAAGUGUGGACGCCAGUCUGCAUGGAGCCGACCUUGAAAUACCACCCUUUAAUGUUUGAUGUUCUAACGUUGACCCGUAAUCCGGGUUGCGGACAGUGUCUGGUGGGUAGUUUGACUGGGGCGGUCUCCUCCUAAAGAGUAACGGAGGAGCACGAAGGUUGGCUAAUCUGGUCGGACAUCAGGAGGUUAGUGCAAUGGCAUAAGCCAGCUUGACUGCGAGCGUGACGGCGCGAGCAGGUGCGAAAGCAGGUCAUAGUGAUCCGGUGGUUCUGAAUGGAAGGGCCAUCGCUCAACGGAUAAAAGGUACUCCGGGGAUAACAGGCUGAUACCGCCCAAGAGUUCAUAUCGACGGCGGUGUUUGGCACCUCGAUGUCGGCUCAUCACAUCCUGGGGCUGAAGUAGGUCCCAAGGGUAUGGCUGUUCGCCAUUUAAAGUGGUACGCGAGCUGGGUUUAGAACGUCGUGAGACAGUUCGGUCCCUAUCUGCCGUGGGCGCUGGAGAACUGAGGGGGCUGCUCCUAGUACGAGAGGACCGGAGUGGACGCAUCACUGGUGUUCGGGUUGUCAUGCCAAUGGCACUGCCCGGUAGCUAAAUGCGGAAGAGAUAAGUGCUGAAAGCAUCUAAGCACGAAACUUGCCCCGAGAUGAGUUCUCCCUGACUCCUUGAGAGUCCUGAAGGAACGUUGAAGACGACGACGUUGAUAGGCCGGGUGUGUAAGCGCAGCGAUGCGUUGAGCUAACCGGUACUAAUGAACCGUGAGGCUUAACCUU